This 75-nucleotide transfer RNA is filed under the name Armatimonadetes bacterium GBS. Its description in RNAcentral is "tRNA_Val_CAC". It matches the Rfam family "tRNA". Rfam says of the family: Transfer RNA (tRNA) molecules are approximately 80 nucleotides in length. Their secondary structure includes four short double-helical elements and three loops (D, anti-codon, and T loops). Lineage: Bacteria; Bacillati; Armatimonadota. The record is from RNAcentral. RNAcentral also lists the same sequence under 7 other names.
GGGCGGUUAGCUCAGUGGCAGAGCGCCUCGUUCACACCGAGGAGGUCGUUGGUUCAAGUCCAACACCGCCCACCA